UCGGGUCCAGAGAGACCAUCUCCAGAGAGGAAGGUUGGCUUCAGGGCUGCCCAGCUGGUGCAGAUGGGGUCUGGGCCUCUCCAAGAGUGACUCCCACCUGCAGCUCUCUGACCAGACCAGAAACCCGCAGGAAGAGCUGGCGUGAGCCCAGGGCCCCAUGCAGGUCUCCUCCCAUCCUUCCUACCAGGCCAGCAUUUCUACUCUGUGCAGCUACCAGCGAGGAGGGCCUGUGGGCUCAAAGACCCAACAGGAAUUCCUGCAGAAGCCCCAUAGCUUGAAGAGGGACCGUGGGAUGAAUGAGCCUGCAUGCAGCCUGGAAUGCAAAGAUCAGCCCUCCUCAGUGACCCCGGGAGCCCAGGAAGAUCAAGGAUCGAGACUGUCGCCCUGGACCUGCCUGCUGUGUAGCUCUGGGUGCAAGUCAAAGAUCAAGCUGAAGUAAAGUUCACCUGCAUCUCGUUAUUGGGCCAUGAGAAAUAGCAGCCCGACCCUCAGUUUGAUCCAGGAACAAUCUCACCAGGGCUUGCCAUCAGCCCAGGACAAUUGACAAGACACUGCUCUCGGGCACCAGAUACACCAACCGAGCGAUUCUCAGAACCCCUAGCAUGGGCCACAAACCAAACACGCAGAGCCGCAGCGAGGACAGAGGGUGCCGCGUGGCCCUUCCUGACAUUCUUUCAUCUGCACACUGUACCGUCAACUCAUUUUCUGCACGGAAUGAAGAUACAUCACUCUGCUCUGGAAAACUACAUUUAGCAUCUCCUUCUUUUUGUGGGGCAGGGAAGUUUUCAUCGACAAAGCGUUUGUAUUGCAGAUGGCUCACCAUAUGCCACGUUCCUG
RNAcentral lists this long non-coding RNA (837 nucleotides) under Homo sapiens (human). Its description in RNAcentral is "non-protein coding lnc-ITPR3-9:2". The record is from RNAcentral. Lineage: Eukaryota; Metazoa; Chordata; Mammalia; Primates; Hominidae.